GAGUUUGAUCGUGGCUCAGAACGAACGUUAGCGGCGCGCCUAACACAUGCAAGUCGCACGAGAAAGGGCUUCGGCCCCGGUAAAGUGGCGCACGGGUGAGUAACACGUAGGUAAUCUGCCUUCGAGUGGUGGACAACUUCCCGAAAGGGGAGCUAAGUACAGCAUAAAGACCACAGAACCCUUUGGGUUUUGCGGCCAAAAGCGGGGCCUCUCCGAUGGAAGCUCGCGCUUGAAGAUGAGCCUGCGGCCCAUCAGCUAGCUGGUAAGGUAACGGCUUACCAAGGCUAAGACGGGUAGCUGGUCUGAGGAGGAUGAACAGCCACACUGGAACUGAGACACGGUCCAGACUCCUACCGGGAGGCAGCAGUGGGGAAUCUUGCGGCAAUGGGCGAAAGCCUGACGCAGCGACGCCGCGUGAGCCGAUGAAGGCCUU
This 433-nucleotide ribosomal RNA is filed under the name uncultured delta proteobacterium. Its description in RNAcentral is "bacterial SSU rRNA". It matches the Rfam family "Bacterial small subunit ribosomal RNA", at positions 9 to 418 of the family's 1533-position model. The record is from RNAcentral. Lineage: Bacteria; Deltaproteobacteria.